GAUUUGAAUUUUCGGCAAAAGCUCUAUAACAAAGUGAUGCUCUGCAAAUGGGGUAGGAGGCGAUGCCUCGUCCUCCUACCCAACUCCUAUUCCGGCACGUCCACGUCGUGCAGAGCGGUAACAUGCGUUACUAGGGGUGCAAGAGCUCUUUUUGAGGAGGAGCUCUUUUUGCUGCACUAGUUGCGGUAGAUGGUAACGCAUGGCUAAGCCGGAAAGGGGGAGACAGGCCAACAAAUUAGUGCUGGAAAUUUGUUGGUUCUGGCUUCUGUAAAUAGUGUAAAGUCCACAGUUCCUGCUGUACGAAGUAGUGAGGCUCAGCAUCCCGGCCUAACCUUCAACGGCAAACGAAAAAACAGCGGAGCUAAUCAAUAAUUACUAUUUUCAAACUGUUCCAAGUGUUCUGGAGCGUACAAUUUUAAUCAUUGGAAAAGUUCAACAAAACACCAGCCCCAAUGGCCAGCAAUUUGUUCGGAGUUUGUGGGACAAAAUCUUCACCAGUGAAGCGAUCGAUGUUUAAGAUCCAGAGCUGACAGCAAAUUGAAGACAUUCUGCACUGGAUUUGUAACCUUUUCAAGAAUCGAUCUCCCUACCCUUUGAUACAAGCUUUGCCUUCAACUAAUACUGGUGAGUUUUAUGUAAUGUUUUACUGCUUCUGUAUUGAAUUUAUGAUAAAUAGAGUGUAAUAGCCUUAAGCUAUAAUCAAUGAAAUAUGGACACUUUCAAUCCAUGACUUUGAUUAUCAUCAAACAGUUCAACAAUUCAACGACCAACGGCUUCAAAAGAUCAACCUAAACGCGAUCAACCAUCUGUCCUCAACCAUCUAAUCAACCAUUACAAUCAACUCUGCAAUUCAACAAUCAAUCGGCAAACCGAUCAACCCGCCACAAUCAGCUUAGUUGUGAUAAGGUAUAGUGGUACCCCGCUCAUGAAAAGCAACUUAUACUCUGCUGCUUCGGGCGACAACAAAAAUGUAAAUGCAAUGAUUAGAUUAUGUUGGGUUGGGUUUUUAAAUUACAUUUAAUGUUUAUUUUUAUUAUUUAGAGCCUCUCGAAAUAGCUUUAAGUUUAUCGAAACAUUCUUUUCAAUUCAGUAGAAUGUGUGAGUAUAUGUGCGUAUGUGUGUGUGUGUGUUUUUUUUUAAUUAAUUUUACAGUAAGUGAUGAUUUUUUGUCUCUUAUUCAAUACUCUUAGAUUAUUUUAUAUCUCUAAUGCUCACAGCAAUACAGUCACUUGGCCUCAUAGCAAUAUCUAUUGCCGCACUUGCCCUGAAGCUGUUUGCUAUACAGUGGAACCCCUCAUAACGAGAACCCGUUUACAACGAGCAAAUCUAAAUGCUCAACCAAUACCACUCUUAACGAGUAAAAUCUCGCACAACGAGCAAUAUGUUCCUGGUACAUUUUUCGCAUGCCGGUGUGCAAUCAACUUCACGAUUACAUUGAGUAUUUCUUUUAUGUUGAAUAUAUUUCUUCCUUAUCCGGCACUGAAACCGCUUUGCGCUUUAGGCCUGCCCUGAGUGUCCGGAACCGCUCACGGUCUCGCGCCUUCGUUUGCCAGUCCGUUAUCCCGGCCUUAAUGGUGGACGCCUCCAGGCCAUCUUGCCAGCUCAAUUUGUGCCUCUAUACUUGUGGACGGCCCUUCGGAGCCUGGCGAGCUUGAUACGCUGCACGACAGUGAGGUCGCUGUACAUCUCGUCUCGAAUGUGGACUAUUACUCAGGAAAAAGUUCGCAAAGGCAAAAAAUGUGAUAUACGUAAUGUAAUCGAGUAUUUCUAGAGCAUUUUUCUGGAUUUACUUGCUCAUGAAGACGAGAAUUUCCCCUACAAUUUCGGUACGUCAAUCAUUUGUCAAGUGUUAGUCGAAACGUAUUUCGUGUGAUCUUUCCAAGAAAUUUCAACAAUCUUUAAUUAUUGGCCUGGUACUUGGAAGCUUCCGAGAACAGGUAUAUCUGGUGAAGAAGAUAGCUUCAGAUUUAAUUGAAGUUUCCAUUUUGUACAAUAUUUACCAUAUUAUUUUAAGUGCCGUGUUUAGAUUUUUAACAAUAGUUUUUGGAUUUUUCGCUGCAGAUGAAAGCGCAACAUCGUCAGCAUAAAAGUAUUGCUCACAGUUCUUCAUGUAAGGAAUAUCUAAAGUAUAUAUGUGCGAUAGUAAAGGCAAACAGAACACUGCUUUGAGUAACACCGGUUUUUGGCGUACGUAUACUUGAUGUGCUAUUUAAAAUAUGUGUUCUGUUAUGUCGAUUAGAAUGAAUGAAUUUACUAUAUUGAUAAAGUAACUUGGAAAAUUUGGUUGGAUGAGUUUGUAAAGUAAACCUUGAUAUCAGAUAGAGUCAAAAGCUUUCUCAGUAUCUAGAAGAAUUAUUACAUCUGUUGUGUGUGGUAUUGUUCAUUAAUCUAUGGAGUUGGUGUGUAGUAGCAAGAGUGGGACAGAAACCAAAUUGACUAUUCGGGAUUAUGUUGUUGUUGGACGUAUGGAGUGAUAGUCGGCUUUCUAAUUUUUUAUUUUUAAAUAUUGUACCCAAGGUACUAAAAAUCUAUAGUUUUCUAGUUGACUGUUAUCUGUGGUUUGGGUAUCGCUAUAACUUAAGUUAUUGUCAAUCCAUUUGGAAAGUAGCCAUGUUUUAGGCAACUAUUUUGAAUGGUAUUGAGGUAAAUAUUGCCUUUUGGAGGUUUUUUUUUGAGUAUGUAGUUGAAACAGUUUGAUUUUAUUAUGUUAGUCUUUUUUCAUUGAAAUUAGAUCUAUUGAGACUUAUUAUUUUAACGUAUUUUUCAGUCAGUGUCUUUGCCACUGUCUGUGACACAUAUUUCGAAUUUUUAUAAGGUUAAUAAUAUCUAGGGAGGGGUUAUUGAAUUAUACCUUCCUGCUGAUUGUAAUGGUAUUGCAAUAUGCAGGAAACGUCUAUCAUCAGCACAUUUGCGGUCCGGGAACGAAUUAUUCCACUUUUUCUUACAAAUUAUAUGGACAAUUCAUAACUAGCUUUUUCAAAUAACGAGUUAGCACACUGGAUCGAGUUUAAUCGUUAUGAGAGGUUCCACUGUAUUCCAUUUAUGAAAUCACGCCUGACAAUGUUUUGUGAACUUCGCCCCAUUAUCUGUCACGAUCCUAAUUCGUAAUUUCUUUUUUGUGCCUUACUCUCGCGUGCUGUACCGGUAAAGUGUCACUUUUCGAAACAAAACAACAGUGACAAACUACUACUACUAUGUAUAUGAUAAUUCCCUUGAUGUAAGAGAGUAAAGAUUUGGACGGUUUCAAACGCUUUGGUAAGCAGAUACACCGUUGGCAGCGUCUUAAGCCACUGCGCUCGUGUGUAUCGAAUAAGCUGCCC
This is a long non-coding RNA of Anopheles coluzzii, 3320 nucleotides long. RefSeq lists it as uncharacterized. The record is from RefSeq and is a predicted model, not a curated record. Lineage: Eukaryota; Metazoa; Arthropoda; Insecta; Diptera; Culicidae. The transcript has 4 exons.